AAGACUGUACUUUGAGGGACCACCCCUAUCGUUCACUAGUAGAGAAGCUCCUAUGAACAUGUAGAGUACCUAAAAGCAGGAGGCUGAAGUGUGCUGUUUUCUCCUGAGCACGAAGCAAGUUCUUCCUGUGGCUAUGCUGCAACAACCUUCUGCCAUUGGCGAUCGUUCUUCUUCCCUUUGGGAGAGUUAGAGAGAGAAAGCAUCAUAUGA
Molecule: small nucleolar RNA, 210 nt
Organism: Mesocricetus auratus (golden hamster)
Lineage: Eukaryota; Metazoa; Chordata; Mammalia; Rodentia; Cricetidae
Gene: U3
Rfam family: Small nucleolar RNA U3
About the family: Small nucleolar RNAs (snoRNAs) are involved in the processing and modification of rRNA in the nucleolus. There are two main classes of snoRNAs: the box C/D class, and the box H/ACA class. U3 snoRNA is a member of the box C/D class.
Source: Ensembl